GUUUUCCUCUGCCUAGCAGAGGAAAGUGCAGCAAGCUCACUUCAAGGACAGUUAUAAGAUAAUACUGUUUGAGAAGCCAAGGCCAAAGGAAUGGACCCCAGACACCCCCCAGCUCCAGAGCAAGGUUGAAGGAAAAAAAAAGAAAGACAAAUUCUUUUACUGUUACUCCUUUCCCAGGCUUCUUAAGCAUGAUUAUGUUUUACAAAUGUCUGUAUUUAGCCACUUGUUGUUUUUCUUUCAAUGCAGCUACAAGGCCACCAGCUAUGCAAGGCCACAAGUUAUGCUAUGCUAUAGAUUAUGUGACCUAUCAUAUUUGAUAAACGUUUGGGUUUAUUUAUUGUAAGUCUGCUUAUAAAAACCUGUCUCUGUCUUUGUUUAAUGCUCAGCUUUUUGGAUGUGAGUCCACUGAGCUGGCGUGUACCUACAAUGAACAAUCCUUCUGUACUCUCAUAUCAGUCUCUCUGGUCCUCAGUUUCCUGCAACAUUUUUGGUGACCACAAAAGGACCAGAGACAGCAGGUUUACUGUUUCCUUUGGCUCUGGGCGCUGGAGCCCUGGGCCUCAGGAGACCUGUGACCCCAGGUACCACUGGAAGAACUUCAGCCCGGAGAGGAAAUCAGCUCUCCCCUGACCCGGCGCCCCUACCCAGCAGUGCAAUGGAACCUGAAAGGAGCUACAGGACAAUUUCAGAAACAGCACCCUUCAGGAACUGCGUUGCAGCUGUUGUGUCUUGGAUCCACCACAGUUGGCUGAAACCGGCAGCUCAGGACAAGUGAACCAGCCAGCAGGACCCAGACCAUUUGACUCGGCUGAUCUUGUGACAAGACUGAGUUGCUGCUGAGUACAACAGCCCUGCUCUGGUCACUCCAGAGGCUGACCAGUCUACACACGGGUGAAGCUUGAGGAAACAACAAGCUCUGCUCUAGUCACACACCAGAAGCUGACUAGUCUAUGCACAGCUGAAGCUUGAGGACUUGUCAAGCAAGUAAAUGUAGUUAGAAAUCUUAGGACUAGUAGUUUUCCUGUAAUACUGUUUUACUAUUGUUCCGUCGCUGUGCUCAAUCUUCUUCCCCAGGUAAGGACCUCUUUUGUCCUUGCUGGAUAUGAAUAUGCUGUACAUUGCUUUGCUGUUGUUACCCCCCUUAACCAUGCUAGAAGAAUCACCCACAGAAGGGUGUCUCCACCGUACACAUACUACUUGGUCAGGGAACAGCAUAACUAAAACUCUAUUGUACCAUACUUAUUAUGGGUGUAUGGGGAAUCGCUUAGGAACUUGUACUUAUAGUCAAACCACCUACUCAGUUUGUGACCCAGGAAAUAACCAACUUUAUGUAUGUUAUGACCCCAAGUUUUCACCUGGUGAAUGGUUUGAAAUUCGUGCAGUCAAAAGAAGGUCUCCUCUUAAACCAAACCAGGGUCCCUCCCUUUUACUGAGGGACUAUUUCUCUGUAUUUUGAUGCUCGUUAGGUAGCAUACCAAGACUCACCCAUCUGUGGUAACCUACCUUUGGAAAGAUACUAUAGAAAUAACUACAAAUAUGUAUGCACGCCAAGAGCAACUCCACAUUGUUCCCCUGGGACCCCAGAGAAAGAUUGUUGGUAUUGCAUAUCAUGGCACCCUAGCCACAACAAAGGUCAAUUAUGCUUACCAAAAUGCUGGUGGACUGCAGGUUCCUCCUUACAUGUCUACAUACACACAUACCCAGCAACCUUCAUAUAUGUUAUCAAAAAGGGAACCCAGACCCGUCUGGCCCAGCAAGGCACAAAAAUGAGGAACGCUAUCUAUCAGAACAGAUUAGCUUUAGACUAUCUCCUAGCCCUAGAAGGAGUAGUAUGUGGAAAGUUCAAUUUAACAAAUUGCUGCCUGGAAAUCGAUGACAAUGGAAAGGCAAUUAUGGAAAUAACUGCAAGAAUGAGAAAAUUAGCCCAUGUUCCAGUUCAAACUUGGAAAGGGUGGUCUCCAGAUUCUCUCUUUGGAGGCUUGGUUUUUAUUUUUCUGAGGGUUCAAGACUUUAAUAGGAGUGGUUCUGGCCAUAUUAGGAAGUUGCCUAAUACUCCCUUGUCUCUUACCUCUCCUUGUUAGAAGCAUUCAAUCGAGUAUAGAGGCAAUAGUAGCUAGGCAAACUACCACUCAGCUAAUGGCUCUGCAUAAAUAUCAACCUUUGUCUAAAUAAGAAAACUCGUCCCUUCAGGCAGAACUAAGUAAUAGUGAUGCCUUCUAUUAAACUUCUUUUAUAAAAGGCAUCAAAGGGGGGAAACUGAGGCAGAAAUUUAAAAAUAAAUAUGCAUUCAUUCACUCCAAGAAAAGUAACAGAAAAGGCAAGGGUUAAAAAGAAAAGAACAAGUUUUCCUCUGCCUAGCAGAGGAAAGUGCAGCAAGCUCACUUCAAGGACAGUAAUAAGAUAAUACUGUUUGAGAAACCAAGGCCAAAGGAAUGGACUCCAGAUACCCCCCAACACCAGAGCAAGGUUGAAGGAAAAAAAAGAAAGACAAAUUCUUUUACUGUUACUCCUUUCCCAGUCUUCUUAAGCAUGAUUAUGUUUUACAAAUGUCUGUAUUUAGCCGGUUGUUGUUUUUCUUUCAAUGCAGCUACAAGGCCACCACCUAUGCAAGGCCACAAGUUAUGCUAUGCUAUAGAUUAUAUGACCUAUCAUUUGGUUAACUGCUUUUGUUUUAUUUAUUGUAAGUCCACUUAUAAAAACCCGAUUCUGUCUUUGUUUAAUGCUCAGCUUUGUGGAUGUGAGUCCGCUGAGCCAGUGUGUACCUAAAAUAAACAAUCCUCCUAUACUCUCA
RNAcentral lists this long non-coding RNA (2791 nucleotides) under Homo sapiens (human). RNAcentral's name for it is "non-protein coding lnc-DHRS2-3:1". The record is from RNAcentral. Lineage: Eukaryota; Metazoa; Chordata; Mammalia; Primates; Hominidae.